This is a long non-coding RNA of Choloepus didactylus (southern two-toed sloth), 501 nucleotides long. RefSeq lists it as uncharacterized. Lineage: Eukaryota; Metazoa; Chordata; Mammalia; Pilosa; Megalonychidae. The record is from RefSeq and is a predicted model, not a curated record. The transcript has 3 exons.
CGCUAGGAGACACGCCCCCGCCUCGCACCGCCGGGCAGUAGUCUUUAACCGUGGAGCUCGGUCCGGCAGUUGCGGGACCGCGCCGGCGCGCCCUCCCUAGAAAGGUGAAACUGCGAGGAAGGGGGCUGUGAGGAUAAGUAAAAACACAUCAUUACGUCGGCUCUCGGGAAAACAGACCUGCGUGCUCACACACGAAUGCUCUCAUGAAAAUGCAGAUGAAAGUCUCAGCGAUUUCAGAGACUAAGAAAUGCUGGUUAGCUUGGGCUGUUUGCAGGAACUGAAAUGCUGGGAACUCUGAAGUUAAAGCUGCAUUUGUGGGGUACCCACAUGCACGGAGAAGCUGAAAAGCUAAUGUGCGGAGGAAGAAUGAAGUAAACACACAGAAGCUGAGAUAAGAGGUGGAGAGACAGAGAGACUUGCCUCUUUCUCCAGAGGUCCAGCUGCCCUUGGGAUCCAUGAGUACCCUAAAAUCCUCCCAAUAAAUUAACUUGCUUUUGCUUA